Molecule: transfer-messenger RNA, 354 nt
Filed under: Planctomycetota bacterium
Lineage: Bacteria; Pseudomonadati; Planctomycetota
Description: Planctomycetes bacterium (gut metagenome) transfer-messenger RNA
Rfam family: transfer-messenger RNA
About the family: Bacterial tmRNA, also known as 10Sa RNA or SsrA, is named for its dual tRNA and mRNA-like properties. Its role is to liberate the mRNA from a stalled ribosome. To accomplish this part of the tmRNA is used as a reading frame that ends in a translation stop signal.
Source: RNAcentral
GGGGGCGAACUGGCCUCGACUGGAUGGAGGAAGAUUGAACUGCGUGCCGUGGUUGAUCGGUUGGCCACGUUAAAAGCCGAUCAAAAAAAUAAAUGCUGAUUACAGCUACUCCAUGGCUGCCUGACAAAAGGCGCCCCAGUGCCCUCAGACGCCGAUAAGGGGAGCGCUGGACAACAUCGGAUAAGCGCUUGAAGGAUUCUCCGAAGUCCGACAUCCGCCGACAAUCAAUUUUGGAUAGCGACCCGAGCGCGUUGGACGAGCGAAGGGAGCGAAAACCAAACGCCCAACUACGCACGUAGACGUUCUUUAAGAAUCCAUCUCAGGACGCGGGUUCGAUUCCCGCCGCCUCCACCA